Molecule: long non-coding RNA, 2590 nt
Filed under: Dromaius novaehollandiae (emu)
Lineage: Eukaryota; Metazoa; Chordata; Aves; Casuariiformes; Dromaiidae
Description: lncRNA (ENSDNVG00000004325.1)
Source: RNAcentral
AUGCUUCCUCCCCAGUGGCAUUCCCCUCUUUCCUCUACCAAGAGACCUAUUGGGUCAUACUCAAAGAACACAGCAAUAUGCAAGUAUCCUGAAACAGUUUGCUCCAGCAGUUMCAUAGAAGGCUGUCCAGGUAAGUAUUAUAAUCAGCUGUACAGACACUGGGUUACUCUGCAGAAAGCACCACACGAGAGCAGAUCCUCCCUGUCACCUCUGGGGCUGCGCUGCCACCGACAGUGCAGUUAUUCACUCAUCCGAAUGGCUCCGUCUGCCUGGCAGAUGCAAGGCAGCGAGAGCUGCGAGGUGUCUCCUUCUUGGGACCAAAAAUAUAGUUUUAAGCCCUUCCAAGACAAAUGUGUUGAUAGGGGCAGUCAAACACAGCACAAACGUCGUUUCAGUAUAUCAGCCGUUAGGCGUAUACACAAAAUUCUUCCUUCAAGGUUUUAUGCCAGCCUUGGACUAACGCGUACCGCUCUGAAUCAGCUGUGUUUGUCCUCUGCCUGCCCCCGGUGGGGUGGUGGCCUCUGCUGCUGCUCUCCGCUUCCCGGAGCUCGCCAGAGCGCUCUCACCGCUCCCAGGGUCAGGCAGGGUUUUUUUGCUUCUCAAUGCAGGAAUUAUACACCGUGAUUGCCAUGAAAUCAUCCUCAAAAAAACAACACAAAAAGAGGAGUAAUGCAUGGAGCAGAGAUCAGACUCUUGCCCUUCCUCGGUUUCGUGUUUCAGAACAUCAGAUCAGUGAGCCUGGGCAUCUCUGUAUAACAUCAGCGACCACAUAAACACACUCAUCCUAAAGGUGCACCACUCUCAAAAUCUUGCAUGCACCCUUUUAGGUCACCCUACGUUAUUUGGCCCAUUUGGGGAGGGAGCAUCUCGGGUCAACCCGAAAGCCUUUAGUUUUUCUUAACCCUCCCUCCAUUUUGAACACUGUCAUCAGAGCUAUGAAGGAUUUGGUGAUUCCCCUGGGACAGAUUAUACCGUGGAGCCAGCUCUGUUUUUUGGGACACCUGUUGAACCCUACCAGAGACAUUUCACUUGAGUUCAGGAUUUGGUUUAUGCAUUUUCUUUUGCAGAUUUGCUGUUCUUUUCAGCAGAGGGCACUGUAGGUAUGUAUACACCUAUUUUUCCACUGUGUACAUCCAUAGGAACAAAUGUUGAAGAGGUGGGCAGCACUAUAGUUAAGACAGGUGAGGAUUCUGGAGAAUGGAGGCUCUUAAAUGCAUAGACAAAUUUUUGCUCACAAUAUGAGAGAGGCUCACACUAAAAAGCAAGGGGUGUUGCAGGUGUGUGGUUAAGAUUUUGAUUCUGAAUGUAGUUCUGUACCUAGGACUUAACACCUUAGAACAUGGAAUGAAUAGUACAUAUUGUAACUCCUAAUUUUCUUGCUUUUGUUCAUUAGUAUCUCACUUUUUCAUAAUAAUCUCAUAAUAUUAACAUUUUUGUAACUUUAAAUAUGUAUUUCUUACUGUUUGUGCUACUGUUGUUUUCUGUCAAGUCCUUACACUCUAACCAGACACUGUUAUAUACAGCUACAAACACAUAUAAUAGGAAUACAGUAAAGGACAAAGAGGAUGAAUGAAAAGCAAAAGCAUGAAGCAGGCAGGAAAGCGUGGUGACAGCAUUAGGAAAACAGACAAGACAAAAUGUGCUGAGCCUUCUGUUACACAGCCGUGAGCAUGGCAUUGCCAUUGUGAGCGCAAUAAUGAAUACAAAACAACUCCRAAACGGGUCACAGAUACAUGCUGAAAUUUCAUGAACUCUAACUGCACACAAAGACUUGAACAAACAGACAGCCAUUAUCUGAAAUAAUUUCAUAAUACCCAUUCCAGUUUUCCCAUUUUUUGCAAUCAUCCAGACUAUAGGAAAUGUGAGCACUUCUUUUCUUUCUCUCUCCUGACUCUCUUGUUCUACGUCUGCACCUUCUCCUUCUCCCAGGAUUUCAGUAGGACAAUGUUGCAUUUUCACUUCUUCCUGGGCUUCUUUAAACAUUCACACUUCCAGCAACACUGAAAGAUUUCCAUGUAGGUUUCCUGCAACUCCACUAUAUUUAAACUGUCAGUUUUUCCUACCUAGUUUCAAGAUCCACACAAACCAAUAGGAACUACCCCAGCUCUGUACAUCAGCUGGGGAUCUCCUCCAAUGACGACUAUAUUUAGCUGUGAAGGUCCUUAUGCUGCAAGUAGUGGUGGAAGAUAGCCUGUAAAAUACAUAUCCACUUCAGCAAUUAGGCUGCCACUUUACAACUACCUCUAUAUUCUGUAUGAAAUACUAUGCAUAAGCAAAUUAGCCUUUUUUUUCUGGCAUGAAAAGGCAAAUUCAUAAUGGUAACAGCAUCAGAAAGACAUUGGUACUGUUGGUAGUAUUGCUGCAUUAGAAAAAAUGAGUCCACGCAGUACUUGUAUGAUCUCUUUGCAUGCUGGGUUGGUACUAGAGAAGACAGCAAAUCCCCAGUCUGGGCUUCAUGUGUGAAUAUAAUGAAAAUCUGCACCAGUUGCAAAAUGUCCAGACUUCAUAUCCCCAUUAAUAGUAAAGCUGGAGCUUCUAGAACCUGAAGAGUUUUGCAAGAUGUAAUAAACCAUCAUUUUACAUCUUGCCA